GAUUACACAACUCACACUAAUUUUAUUCCACACACGGCUGUUUCUCAUUAGAAGCCAGAACCUUAUUUUUUCCUGUCCCAUGCCAUCCCCUUCUGAUUCAGAAACUGCAAACCUGUGUCCCAGACCUUCUCCGGGUAGGAUGAAGCGCAGACACGUGACACUACCGCAUCUGGAGAGAAACUGCCAAGCAGCUCAAAGCCCAGGCCCCCCUGAGCCUCAGGAGAAGCAGCCCUCCUCCACUUCUCCGGUGCCCCUCUGCCCCAUGUCCUGUUUUUACUUAGAACGAGCCUGAGCACAUAUGCCACCUUGCCAGGCCUCGCCAGAGUCUCCCAAUGGCACAGAGCGCACAUUACACAGAUGGAAUGCAACAUACAUGUAAAGAAAUAAGAGCACUGCCAGGAAAGUUGGCAGCGGCUCCGGAAUGCUUUAAACAGUGUGCAUGUGGGUAGAGAGAGUGAGCCCGGAGUCGGGGAGGCUGCCUCACUCCCAAGAGCUGUUUCUUUUACAGCCAUGACCUGUUUUGCCAGUCAAAAUAAAUACGGUGUUAAAUGCC
Long non-coding RNA from Chinchilla lanigera (long-tailed chinchilla), 553 nucleotides. RefSeq lists it as uncharacterized. The transcript is spliced from 2 exons. The record is from RefSeq and is a predicted model, not a curated record. Lineage: Eukaryota; Metazoa; Chordata; Mammalia; Rodentia; Chinchillidae.